UUUUAUAUAUAUAAUCGGAUGCUACAAAAAUUGAUUAAAAACUAAAAAAAUCAAUCUAUAGAUGCAGUUGGAGUCAACUGAAUGAGAUUCUAUGAAAAAGAUGUUAUACAAUAUUUCACAUUUAGUUUACGUUAUGUUGUUGACUGUUUGUGUUCUCGCAUGUUCUGCAUAUCCUUGUGAUGAUUGAUGAAACGUGGAAUCAAAUAUAUCAAAAGGAUUUGUCCAUUCAUAUUCGUCGGAAUUGUCAUGUAUGAUGGGCUGGUUUCUGUUCAAAAAUAUUGAAUUCAUGUGCAUUUAAUUGUGUAAGGUAACCAAUAAAUGUUCAAUUAAAGAAA
Molecule: long non-coding RNA, 335 nt
Organism: Parasteatoda tepidariorum (common house spider)
Lineage: Eukaryota; Metazoa; Arthropoda; Arachnida; Araneae; Theridiidae
Source: RefSeq, a predicted model, not a curated record